GAGGGAUGGCUGAGCGGUUGAAAGCACCGGUCUUGAAAACCGGCGUGCCGAAAGGCAUCGGGGGUUCGAAUCCCUCUCCCUCC
RNAcentral lists this transfer RNA (83 nucleotides) under bovine gut metagenome. It matches the Rfam family "tRNA". Rfam says of the family: Transfer RNA (tRNA) molecules are approximately 80 nucleotides in length. Their secondary structure includes four short double-helical elements and three loops (D, anti-codon, and T loops). Further hydrogen bonds mediate the characteristic L-shaped molecular structure. tRNAs have two regions of fundamental functional importance: the anti-codon, which is responsible for specific mRNA codon recognition, and the 3' end, to which the tRNAs corresponding amino acid is attached (by aminoacyl-tRNA synthetases). tRNAs cope with the degeneracy of the genetic code in two manners: having more than one tRNA (with a specific anti-codon) for a particular amino acid; and 'wobble' base-pairing, i.e. permitting non-standard base-pairing at the 3rd anti-codon position. The record is from RNAcentral.